This 705-nucleotide ribosomal RNA is filed under the name uncultured Bacteroidales bacterium. RNAcentral's name for it is "bacterial SSU rRNA". It matches the Rfam family "Bacterial small subunit ribosomal RNA", at positions 68 to 763 of the family's 1533-position model. The record is from RNAcentral. Lineage: Bacteria; Pseudomonadati; Bacteroidota; Bacteroidia; Bacteroidales.
AGCAUGGUCUUAGCUUGCUAAGGCUGAUGGCGACCGGCGCACGGGUGAGUAACACGUAUCCAACCUGCCGUCUACUCUUGGCCAGCCUUCUGAAAGGAAGAUUAAUCCAGGAUGGCAUCAUGAGUUCACAUGUCCGCAUGAUUAAAGGUAUUUUCCGGUAGACGAUGGGGAUGCGUUCCAUUAGAUAGUAGGCGGGGUAACGGCCCACCUAGUCAACGAUGGAUAGGGGUUCUGAGAGGAAGGUCCCCCACAUUGGAACUGAGACACGGUCCAAACUCCUACGGGAGGCAGCAGUGAGGAAUAUUGGUCAAUGGGCGAUGGCCUGAACCAGCCAAGUAGCGUGAAGGAUGACUGCCCUAUGGGUUGUAAACUUCUUUUAUAAAGGAAUAAAGUCGGGUAUGCAUACCCGUUUGCAUGUACUUUAUGAAUAAGGAUCGGCUAACUCCGUGCCAGCAGCCGCGGUAAUACGGAGGAUCCGAGCGUUAUCCGGAUUUAUUGGGUUUAAAGGGAGCGUAGAUGGAUGUUUAAGUCAGUUGUGAAAGUUUGCGGCUCAACCGUAAAAUUGCAGUUGAUACUGGAUGUCUUGAGUGCAGUUGAGGCAGGCGGAAUUCGUGGUGUAGCGGUGAAAUGCUUAGAUAUCACGAAGAACUCCGAUUGCGAAGGCAGCCUGCUAAGCUGCAACUGACAUUGAGGCUCGAAAGUGUG